Molecule: non-coding RNA, 1193 nt
Organism: Cyanistes caeruleus (blue tit)
Lineage: Eukaryota; Metazoa; Chordata; Aves; Passeriformes; Paridae
Source: RefSeq, a predicted model, not a curated record
UCCACGGCGACGGCAACGCCGCUGCGGCCCCGGUAACCGGGGACACGGGGGAGAGCGGCUGUGGCCUAACUCUGCCUAAAACAAUUGUAAUGCUGUGGGCGCUGUAAUGAACAGGGAGGGGAUUCGGCUAAAAGCCUCCCGCUACUCCUGAAAGCACCGUUUGCUGUACAAGAGCAAGAGCCUGGGUCGUUCUUUUGGCCUGGCUGGCCAUUACUCUGCUUGGUCAAGGAGCUUUAAGCCCACACUAGGAAAUUUCUGAGUUUUUUCUCGGUAUGAUAGCUGCUAUCAGCAGAGUCUGUGGUUGCUGGAAAAACACAGAGGGCACUGGGCUUAUUUUCAAGGCUCCACCUGUUUUCCUUCCCUGCAACACAGCACCAGGGGUAGGACAUGGGACAGACAGGUGGCCUUUGACCCAGGCCAAGGGCUACUACAGCUCCUUCUUGUCCCUGACAGAGCACAGCACUCCUUGGUGACUUAGCCCAAAAGGACCCUACAGAAGCUGCUGCACAUUUCUGGGGGCAUGUCUGUAUCCUCUACCACAGCUGCCUGAUCAACCAGGAUGUCUGUAUCAAGCAGUGAAGAGGGUUUAGCUGCAGGAGCAAGCCCCUGCCAGACCCACCAGCCAAGCAGCCCCACAGAACUGUCAUUCCCAGCAUGGCCUUAGUGCCACACGGUGCCACCACUGUCACUGGGUGUGCCAGGCAGGGGCACAGCUCGAGCAGCCCCAGCUCACAUUAAGCACCCACUCUGUGGCUGGGAGUGACACAAGCACCACCCGAGCCCUGCUGCCCACACCGGGCUCCCAGUGCCCUGGGGCUCCCACCACCCUGGAGCAGCCCAGGCAGAGUGCAGCUGCUGCCUUUUGCUGCUGGGGCAGCACAGCAGGCUCCGCUCCACGCCCGGGAUCAUGAUGGUGACGAGUCACGCGCAGCCGGGUCCGGAGCUGGAUGGAGCCCAGGCAGGAUGGGAACGCUGCAGGCCCCACACACCCCCUCAGGCAGCACUCCCCAUGGCUUGCUCAGACCGAAUCAUCACUGUCACCACAACAAUACAAAUCAGCCAGAAAUAACAACCUGGCUGGGGUAGAACUUGGCUUUUAUUCUCCAGCGCACUUCUCCAGAGACAGCAGAAAAAGAAACAGCUCAAUUUUUGGGACAGCACAUUCAGCAAAACAAGACGGGGAAAAUUAUUUU